AUUUUCCCACGUGCUGCCCCUGAAGCCUAAGGACGGGCCUGGAUGGCUGGUAUGGGCCUCUUAUUUGGUUGGGCAGGCGCAGUAGGUACUGGCCUGCGGAACGGAGCUGAGGGUCGGGAACUCCCUUCUGGCUGAGGACGGGUGCUGAAGCUUCUUUCCACGAUCUGUGCCUUUGCUAGGACUGCUGAAUAUGUCUUGAGCUCCAGUACAAGUCUUGCCUGAUCUUUGGGCGGAGACCCGACUGGAAUCUCCGGGCCUUUCGACCCUCAUCCAUCAAUAUCUCCGGGGAGUAUCAGCCCAGCUCGAAGAACUUACGAGCAUACUCUGAUACUGUCAUGUUUCCCUAAAUCANNN
Molecule: long non-coding RNA, 354 nt
Filed under: Carica papaya (papaya)
Lineage: Eukaryota; Viridiplantae; Streptophyta; Magnoliopsida; Brassicales; Caricaceae
Description: long non-coding RNA (CPAP_LNC005266)
Source: RNAcentral